Molecule: non-coding RNA, 27 nt
Filed under: Homo sapiens (human)
Lineage: Eukaryota; Metazoa; Chordata; Mammalia; Primates; Hominidae
Source: RNAcentral
UCAUUAUAGAUGAGAAAGCAAGGCCUC